This 67-nucleotide transfer RNA is filed under the name Ceriagrion fallax. Its description in RNAcentral is "tRNA-Phe". It matches the Rfam family "tRNA". Rfam says of the family: Transfer RNA (tRNA) molecules are approximately 80 nucleotides in length. Their secondary structure includes four short double-helical elements and three loops (D, anti-codon, and T loops). Lineage: Eukaryota; Metazoa; Arthropoda; Insecta; Odonata; Coenagrionidae. The record is from RNAcentral.
AUUUGAGUAGCUUAAUUGUAAAGCUUUACAUUGAAGCUGUAAAUAUGGUAAUUAUUACCCUCAGAUA